This is a long non-coding RNA of Podarcis raffonei (Aeolian wall lizard), 2217 nucleotides long. RefSeq lists it as uncharacterized. NCBI's taxonomy places the organism in Eukaryota, Metazoa, Chordata, Lepidosauria, Squamata, Lacertidae. The record is from RefSeq and is a predicted model, not a curated record. The transcript has 2 exons.
GCCCUCCAGAUGUUUGGGACUACAAUUCCCAUCAUCCCUGACCACUGGUCCUGUUAGCUAGGGAUGAUGGGAAUUGUAGUCCCAAACACCUGGAGGGCUGGAGUUUGCCUAUGCCUGGAUUAAACUGUUGCAGACUAACUCUGAGGCAGAUGGAAGCAGCACAACACAACUGUUAAGACUGUUCUAUUAACUGCCAUAACUGUACCAACUGAAAAUAACUGCCACAGAGUCUUUGACAUCAUAGAGUUCUACAGCUCUUGCAAUCAAUUCUUUGCAUAUGCAUUCUGGAUGCUAACAUCCCACAGGUAUCACAUUUCUGAAUACAUUCUCAAGCAGGCAGAGCCAUUCUGACAACACCACCUCAUUCUGUCGCAAGGAUAGACCAGGCCAGAGUCAGAGGUCAUAUUUGCAAUCAGUUUUCAGCAUCAGUCCCAGGGAGAGAGACAUGAAAUAACAGGUUAAAAUCGGGCAGGCGUGUUUAUGAAGACUUCUGACAAUUGUGGACAUUAAAAUUACUGGGCCCAUUAUCUUUCCUCAAUAACCAUUAAUUGCCCUUGAAGCUUGUCGGCAGUUCUGGAAGGCAUGUGCCAACAUUUCUUAUCUCAUGAUAAGAAUCAGCCCCUGACAAGAUGCAGAGCAGGGAGGAGAAAGACCUCACACCAAUUUGAACCUCCCAAAGCAAGAUUCCUCCUGGCUGUCUAUCAUUCCUAUGACUGCCGUGGUGCUUGGUGCAACACACAGAACAGCGAUAAGCAUGUUUCUGUGGUGGAGGAAGCCAAUAGAGCUGGAAGGAGUUGCAUCUCAGUUGCUUCAGGAGCCAAGGUUUUGCAGAGAGAGAGAGAGAGAGAGAGAGAGAGAGAGAGAGAGAGAGAGAGAGAAUGUCCUCUGGUUGUGCCAUCAAUCUGCUUGGCAUUAAUUUCCCUUGUCUGUUCUUAAGGCUCUCAUAAUCUCAAAUCCUCUAGGGCAUGCUGAUUUUCCUUGUAAGAUUUAAAUGCAUUUCCCCUCUGCAAUUGCGCUUUCAAGUAAGACAUCAGGGGUCCCUUGAGUCUGUGCCAGGUGGAAAGCUACACUCCCAGUACGCCAUCUGGGAAGAGCCGACUACACAACCGUUUGGUUAAAUGGUGUUUAUUAUAAAUUGAGGUAAGGAUCCAUUUCCCCAGAAUAUAACCCUCUCCUCUACAAAGCAGUAUUCUUUUCUGGAGAGAUGAAUCAACACUGCUGUCUCUUUUUCCUUGUCCCUGCUGAUAAUACGGAGUUGCCUAAGUGUUCUUCUGAGCAAGGAUGGCCAAAUCUGACAGUUUUUGCUUCUCCCCAUUUCCCCCCCCCCAAAAAAAGUUCAGCUCAUGUUUAAACACCAGCUUGCACUUUCUUCUAAGUCCUCAUGAACAUUCGUCAACAUAGGAGUGUGAAUUUCUCCUAAUAUUAAUGCUUGCAUGCAGUUCUGCCUAAUAUACACAUUUUUUGCAAAGCAUUUUCUUCCUAAUAGAAUGCAUUUUGUAUGUUAUUUUCACCAAUAUAUGCAAUUGCAUGCAUACUGUACCCUAGCAUAUGCACUUUUGUGCUUGGCUGAAAAACUGCACUGGAAAAUUAAGAGAAGAGGGGGUUUUGAAGGAUGGCUGUGUCUUAGUCUCAUAUUGUUUCAGAAACUACAAAUUAGAUAGAUUCACUUUUAAAUGUGGUCUGAAUCAUAUUUCUCUCCCCCCCCAUCCCUACAUCCCAUGCUACUCCCCGAUGUUCCAAAGACGGUUCAGAGAUAAAUGCACAAUUUGCAGGUGAUUCUGUCAAUGUCAACUGUGAACUUACUUAAUUCUCUGGAGACGGUGACAGACACGAAUUCUUUAACAGAAGAGGCUAUUGCCUCAUACAGUGGCUCCAGAAAGAUAAAUGAAGAAUAGGGGGGGGGGGCUGUGGCGGGAGACUGUGUGAGGAUGAGCAAGUGAUGUUAAGUGAAGAUAAAUGCUUCUGGCCCAUUUCUGCAAGGUGAAAGGUACAGACGCCAUCUGUGAUCAACAGGACUCUGUAAGAGAAUACCUUUUAAAAUUUCUGCUUCACAUAUCUGCAGGCUGGGGAAAGGUGGCUGGCCAGAGAGAGGCACAGAUUACUAUUUCACAAGAUUGUGGCAACAUGUUUUACAUAUACAGAGACAGAAGUGAAAUAGAGAGGCAGAGAGAGAGAAUAGGCAGAGGAAAUUAUUUGUGAUAAAGGUGUUGGACAAUU